Molecule: long non-coding RNA, 211 nt
Organism: Vespula pensylvanica (western yellowjacket)
Lineage: Eukaryota; Metazoa; Arthropoda; Insecta; Hymenoptera; Vespidae
Exons: 2
Source: RefSeq, a predicted model, not a curated record
ACAACAACAACAACAACAACAAUAAUAAUAAUAAUAAUAAUAAUAACGAGCGGAAUAAUAGUCCGUAUGAAAAGAAAACGAUUCGUCGAUGCUGUCGCCCAGUGACGUUGUCGAGGACGCCGAUCCGUUGGCUCGAACGGUGCACGGAAGGAGGCCGACGAAUUGCAUCGAGCUACGAGUUUCUACAAUGAUGAACGAAGGAGAGGAUCCA